Molecule: ribosomal RNA, 570 nt
Filed under: Yamadazyma endomychidarum
Lineage: Eukaryota; Fungi; Ascomycota; Pichiomycetes; Serinales; Debaryomycetaceae
Description: eukaryotic LSU rRNA
Rfam family: Eukaryotic large subunit ribosomal RNA
Source: RNAcentral
AUAUCAAUAAGCGGAGGAAAAGAAACCAACAGGGAUUGCCUUAGUAGCGGCGAGUGAAGCGGCAAUAGCUCAAAUUUGAAAUCUGGCGUCUUCGGCGUCCGAGUUGUAAUUUGAAGAAGGUAUCUUUGGUUUUGGCUCUUGUCUAUGUUCCUUGGAACAGGACGUCACAGAGGGUGAGAAUCCCGUGCGAUGAGAUGCCCAAUUCCAUGUAAAGUUCCUUCGACGAGUCGAGUUGUUUGGGAAUGCAGCUCUAAGUGGGUGGUAAAUUCCAUCUAAAGCUAAAUAUUGGCGAGAGACCGAUAGCGAACAAGUACUGUGAAGGAAAGAUGAAAAGAACUUUGAAAAGAGAGUGAAAAAGUACGUGAAAUUGUUGAAAGGGAAGGGCUUGAGAUCAGACUUGGAAUUUUCCAGCAAUGGAGCUUUCCGGGCCAGCAUCAGUUUGGAUGGCAGGAUAAUUGCGUAGGAAAGUGGCUCCACUACGGUGGAGUGUUAUAGCCUGCGUCGAUACUGCCUGUCUAGACUGAGGACUGCGUCUUUGACUAGGAUGCUGGCAUAAUGAUCUUAAGCCGC